GACAGAGGGUGCAAGCGUUGUUCGGAAUUAUUGGGCGUAAAGGGCGCGUAGGCGGCUUCAUAAGUCAGAUGUGAAAGCCCGGGGCUUAACCCCGGAAGUGCGUCUGAUACUGUGAAGCUUGAGUCCUGGAGAGGGCGGUGGAAUUCCCAGUGUAGAGGUGAAAUUCGUAGAUAUUGGGAGGAAUACCGGUGGCGAAGGCGACCGCCUGGACAGAGACUGACGCUGAGGCGCGAAAGCGUGGGGAGCAAACAGG
This 253-nucleotide ribosomal RNA is filed under the name uncultured bacterium. RNAcentral's name for it is "partial 16S ribosomal RNA". It matches the Rfam family "Bacterial small subunit ribosomal RNA", at positions 524 to 776 of the family's 1533-position model. The record is from RNAcentral.